CGCCUGGUAGCUCAGUGGUUAAAGCGCUGGCUUCAGAAGCCAGAGGACCGGGGUUUGAUUCUCCGGCCGGGUGA
This 74-nucleotide transfer RNA is filed under the name Portunus trituberculatus (swimming crab). Its description in RNAcentral is "tRNA-Leu". It matches the Rfam family "tRNA". From Rfam's summary of the family: Transfer RNA (tRNA) molecules are approximately 80 nucleotides in length. Their secondary structure includes four short double-helical elements and three loops (D, anti-codon, and T loops). Further hydrogen bonds mediate the characteristic L-shaped molecular structure. tRNAs have two regions of fundamental functional importance: the anti-codon, which is responsible for specific mRNA codon recognition, and the 3' end, to which the tRNAs corresponding amino acid is attached (by aminoacyl-tRNA synthetases). tRNAs cope with the degeneracy of the genetic code in two manners: having more than one tRNA (with a specific anti-codon) for a particular amino acid; and 'wobble' base-pairing, i.e. permitting non-standard base-pairing at the 3rd anti-codon position. Lineage: Eukaryota; Metazoa; Arthropoda; Malacostraca; Decapoda; Portunidae. The record is from RNAcentral.